GGGGGCGUGGCCCGUCCUCCAGCGCUCUGUUUACUCCGACGCGCUCGCGGUGACAACACGUACACAACGUGGGACAUUAUACCUGUCAAUCAACCCGCUAACGCCUCAUAAUGUACUAACGACGUGGACAUUUAUCAGUCCACACACACAGUGUAUAUGAGGCAGACAAUGACUGCGCCACAAAAUGCUAUUCAGCUAGCUUACGUUUCUGUGCUACUCGGCUAACAAAGUUAGCUGCUAAUGCUAGCUGACUCAACACAAAACUACCUAGCCUAUAACGAGGUAAAAGUAGCGCCGCUUCAUCCACACAGGACGUCAACCUUCGGGUAAUCGUUGGGCAGUAGGGCGCUGUUUACCUCACGGAGCAGGGCUUCGGUCCUCGGCCUCCGGUCCUCGGCCUCGGGUUGGAGAGACCUCCGACCGACUGGGGGCUGUGGGUUACAGGAGCGGUACUGCACCCUUUGGCCCUCGCAGUACCGCCCCCCGUUCUGGGGUACAGGGUCCUGGCAUUCUCUAUAGGAGAACUCCACUCCGCCCCCGCAGGUCCUGGAACACUCCCGCCACGACCCCCACAGGCCCCAGCCCCCGUCUACCACCACCUGAGGAGACCAGGAGGAAAGGACCUCCUGGGUGGCCCGGCACAUCCCAUGAAGACAUGUUCCGUUGGGGCAGGCGGUGCCGUCGGCCCAGGGCAAGCUGCCGUUCUUGGUGGUGCAGUGGUGGCCGCCCUCCUCGUGGCACCAGAGCUGGGAGCAGGGCUCGCUGUCCGACGUGUUGGGGCAGCGGAGGAACUCCUCUCCGAAGAUCUGUUGGCACUGGCGGUCCAGGCUGAAGGUGCGGCCGGGCAGCCCCCGGGGCAGCGGCAUGGCCGUCUCCGGGGCGUCCAGCAGGCAG
Gadus morhua (Atlantic cod) is the source of this 894-nucleotide long non-coding RNA. RefSeq lists it as uncharacterized. The transcript has 3 exons. NCBI's taxonomy places the organism in Eukaryota, Metazoa, Chordata, Actinopteri, Gadiformes, Gadidae. The record is from RefSeq and is a predicted model, not a curated record.